RNAcentral lists this ribosomal RNA (252 nucleotides) under uncultured Bacteroidales bacterium. Its description in RNAcentral is "partial 16S ribosomal RNA". It matches the Rfam family "Bacterial small subunit ribosomal RNA", at positions 524 to 776 of the family's 1533-position model. Lineage: Bacteria; Pseudomonadati; Bacteroidota; Bacteroidia; Bacteroidales. The record is from RNAcentral.
UACGGAGGAUGCGAGCGUUAUCCGGAUUUAUUGGGUUUAAAGGGUGCGUAGGCGGACUGUUAAGUCAGCGGUAAAAGCCCGGGGCUCAACCCCGGCGAGCCGUUGAAACUGGGGGCCUUGAGUGGGCGAGAAGAAGGCGGAAUGCGCGGUGUAGCGGUGAAAUGCAUAGAUAUCGCGCAGAACUCCGAUUGCGAAGGCAGCGUACCGGCGCCACACUGACGCUGAGGCACGAAAGCGUGGGGAUCGAACAGG